GGACUACCGGGGUAUCUAAUCCCGUUCGCUCCCCUGGCUUUCGCACCCGAGCGUCAGUGACUCCCCAGGAUGGUGCCUUCGCCUUUGGUGUUCUUCCGGAUCUCUACGCAUUUCACCACUCCACCCGGAAUUCCCCAUCCCUCUGAAGCCCUCAAGUCUCCCAGUUUUCGUAAGCCUGACACAGUUAAGCUGUGCCCUGUCCCUACAAACUUAAGAGACCGCCUGCGUGCGCUUUACGCCCAGUAACUCCGGACAACGCUCGCCUCCUACGUAUUACCGCGGCUGCUGGCAC
RNAcentral lists this ribosomal RNA (292 nucleotides) under uncultured bacterium. Its description in RNAcentral is "partial 16S ribosomal RNA". The record is from RNAcentral.